Long non-coding RNA from Brassica rapa (field mustard), 964 nucleotides. RefSeq lists it as uncharacterized. NCBI's taxonomy places the organism in Eukaryota, Viridiplantae, Streptophyta, Magnoliopsida, Brassicales, Brassicaceae. The record is from RefSeq and is a predicted model, not a curated record.
UGUUCUUUCGAUUCGUCUCCAUCAAGCAAUCCUCUCUCUUUGUCUCUCUCUCUCUCUCUCUCUCUCUCUCUCUCUCUCUCUCUCUCUCUCUCUCUCUCUCUCGCUCUCUCUCUCUCUCUCAGCAUCGCAGAGGCUACGAACGUUCGUGAGAUUGAGAGCGACAUCGAAAGGGACGCAAGGAGAGAGAUUAGACUGGGCGAGUUGGUGUCCAUCAUCUGGAUUAUUCUCAACAGAACAAGAACUUCACAUUCAAAUGUCAACAGAGAUGGGAAUGAGGUCUAUUCUGUCAACGCUCUGAACUUCCACCCGAGGAUUUCGACGAAGCAAUUUUAUACCAAAGAACAAAUCUGAUCAGUGCGAAUCAAGGACGUCGGUGCCCAAAACUCACAGGAGUGGGAGCUUCCACAGUGUUCACAAGAUAUUGUUGGGAGUACUUUAACCUUCCAAUUGAACCUAUCCCACUUCAACUUGACUGCAAAGCAUCAGAGCUUCACUGUUUCCCACAUUUAGGAACCGAUCAGCGUCCACCGCAGUCUAAUUUGGAGGUUUUGGGUGGGAAUAACAAUCUGGGAGAUCAUAUGUAAGGUGCUGAAGCAGUCAAAAAGAGCAAUGUUUCUGGAGUUAAAAUAACCUUUGUGGAUCAUGGUACCUGUGUUGGCGAUGAAGCGGUUGAAGGUGGACUAGCUGAUGCAACUGCUCCAGGUCACAACUCUGUUAAUUGAAGGGAGAGGAGAGGAGUCACCAGUGAAGGAAGAUGGGUGCUCUAGAAAGAAGGCACCAAUUGAUUGACAUCGAAAGAGCAAGGGGAACCAAAGUUACAAGACACGAUGAUUUUUUUGUUGCAUUUCCAGACAUUAUCAUAUGAAGUCCGACUACUUUAAAAAAUUUAUAUCAUUGGUUUCCUUGGGUUUUUAAACUCCACCAUAUCAGACAUUUUCAGUUAUAAAAUAAGGCGUCCUGUUUG